Molecule: long non-coding RNA, 1330 nt
Organism: Hemicordylus capensis (graceful crag lizard)
Lineage: Eukaryota; Metazoa; Chordata; Lepidosauria; Squamata; Cordylidae
Exons: 4
Source: RefSeq, a predicted model, not a curated record
CCGGCAGGCAGUGUGGGCCUGAAUCUGCCCCUCUCCCAUUCAGGAAUGGCCUGCCUAGCAGGGCUGGAAAAGAUUGUGAACUUUCUCUGGGAACUGCUUGAGUUCUGGAGAUAAAUAGAGGCAAGAACAACAAAGAGGAAGACAGAGGAAAUGAAGAACAAGAGUUUAGUGCUAAGGAGGAAAAACAGAGAAAAGGCCGAGAGAGAGAGCUGGAGCUACUGCGAAGAGGCUGCUGAAUAGAAGGGCAAAAAGGGAUGCCAAGCAUACGUUUUUUCAGAACAUUGUUGAGGACAUUUCUGAGUUCAUCAGCAUUGAUCUCCAUGUCCUGUCAGGAAAAAAAGAAGAGAGAAUGUCCACACAGCUAAGCUGCAAAAGCCACUUCCUGUGCAAUGCGUGCAAGUCCAUGCAUGUGGAAGAAGAUGUGGUGAAACUGGACCUCUGCAAACUUUUCAGGAAAGACCAGUAUGCUGUAGCUGCCACCUUGUGCUUGCAAUUCUAAUAGUUAUUAACAUUAUUUCUGUAAUUUUGAAAACACUCCCAAGGAGGUCAGCAUUAUACCAGAAGAGGUAUGCUUUCAUUGCUCAUGCACAAACCAUAGCUAGCCGCAUUACCAUGCUAGUUCGUAUUCCUAAUACACUCAGCAUUCCUCAUGCUGACCUCAUCCCUUUUAUUUUUCUUAUCUGUUUUUCCCUUGUUGGCAUUAGGCCCUUCACCACCUUUCUGAUCCUUGUUUUUGUUUGCUCUGUCUGAGACAAAGAUAAUUGGCUAGAGAGAGGAGAAAAAUUAGAGAGAGAGAGAGAGAGAGAGAGAGGAAAAUAAAUGAGUUGAAGUGACCAACAGGGUAGCAUAUUAGCAACAUGAAUUCUACACAUUUGCUCAUCCUUUUACACCAUAGGUCAUCUCUCACAUGUACAUGUGCACAAAGCAAAGAAUAUUGUAGUAAGCUGUGAGAAGGCCAACCAAGGAUUGGAUUCUAAUCACUAAACUAGGCUGUCCCUGCAAAUUCAUGUAUGAGAACACAGAUAAGCUAUUCAUUUUAGUAGCUGUUUGUUUGUUUGUUUGUUUAAAGUACAAAGCAAGCUUGUAAAGCUCUGAUAUUACAACUAUUCGUAAGUAUAAAUGGCAGCAAUGCUAUAAUACCAAUAAAAGCUGGAAAUAGGCAGUAGAAACGAAAAAGCACCCUUUGUGUGGCUUCAGAAAGAAAACAAAUGACUUCAUACCCUUUAUACAUAAUGUACUCACAGAAAUGUGUCCUGCUUGAAUCUUGUUUUCAACUUCCCUGUGGUGAGGGGCGGUUGAGGAAAGUGGGGUGGGGAAUAAAAGAAUAAAA